AAGUCGAGACGUCCUUUAACUCUCACGAUUUGGGGUCUGUUGUCGUUCUGUCCCUGAAGCUGCUGGGCAGUCUGUUGAUCAAUGUUCAGAGCGUCAGCGAGGAGCUGUGUGUUGAAGCCGGCGAAGAUGUUCUUGUUGUUUCCUUCUUGUUGCUGGUGCCUGCUCCUUCCUCCUUGCUGUUGCUGGUGCCUGCUCCUCUCUCGUUGCUGUUGCUGGUCCUGGUCCCAUUGACUUUGUCCUUGCUGGCCCCGACGACUCUGGCUUUGCCCGUGUUGGUUAAACUCAUCUUGUGGAUUACCAGCCAGAUAGAAUCUCUACAUACAUAACACAUCAUGCAUGUGAUCAGAAAAAACUAGCAAGCCAACAGUAAGAGUGCUAUUGUACCUCCACAAAAGAAAAUAUAUACAUAUCACAUUUGCUAAUUAAUUUACCCUGGGGUUACGGUCAAGCUGGUUUUGUUGGUUGCCGAUAUCAAGAAGAUUGACAGCAACAAGAGGUUGGUCACCGUCGUUGUAGGACCAGUAGGUGACUCCAGCAGGAAUAGCAAUCACAUCACCUUCUCUGAUGCGUUGAACCUUCUGGUGUCUGUCUAGCUGCUCGAAACUCUCUUGUCCCUGUUGGCUGUGCCGCCCUUGUUGUCUAUGACGACUUUGCUGUCCAGGGCCUUGUUGCCCUCGUUGACCACGGCCUUGUUGUUCAUACUCUUCCUGUUCUUGUUGCCCGCGGCCUUGCUGUCCAUGGCGCCCUUGCUGGCCUUGCCACUGUUGUUGACCUUGUUCUUCAUCAGAUUGCUCAGAUUCUUCAAAAGUUUCAGGACAGCCAGGGAAAACAGUUGAUAGAAAACCAUUGCCUACAGGGUAUAAAUGAAUGAUUUUAACCACAUACGUACUUGUAUUCAAAAAAUUUAUACUAAAUUUAACCAAUUGCAUUUAUACAAUACCUUGCACUAUGUAAGUGAGUUGUGGAGCAUGGGAGUAAGAAGGCAAGUGAAGGCCAUUUCUUUCUAUGGUAAUUCGUUGAACGGCAACACCAGCACAUUGGAAAUCGUCCUGGUUGUAGUCCCAGGAUUCGAUCCUACCCGCUUCAGUCUCAAUGCGGUUAUCAGGUUCACGGGCUUGGAGCUGAUCUAAUUGGCAUUCAUUUCGCUGGCUCGACUGAAAUUGUUGGUGAGCUGCUAAGCAGCUCUGGAAGAGGACAAGCAAACAGAGAGAAAAGGCGAGAGCUAUAGGCUUAGCCAUAGUGAUGAUCAGAGAGAUAGCUAGCUAGUUGUGGUGAAGCGGCGAGUAGAAGGUGUGGUAUUUAUAGGAUAGAGAAGGUGAAGAGACAAAAAUAAGUACAAUAACAUUAAAGAUCUGAAGCCGUUCUUCUCUUUGCAUGGCAAUAGCAAUUUACAUUCUUCCACCUCAUUCCUUCCAGGGCAGGUGGCUCAUGACUUCAGAGAAGAUACAAAGUGCUAUGAAUAAGGUGGCAACCAGAAGCGGUUUGCAAUUGUCUGCAAGUGAAGCAAAAUUUUACACCCUUGAACCUGGUCCCAAUACAGGGAAAAAUUAAUGAGAGAAGUCAGAUAAGUUCGUUCUAAAUUUGGUAAAAUGAUAUUACAUCAGCCCCAACCUGAUGAACAUCUUCUAUGAUCCAGACAAGGUUCAAAAAUGUAAGAUCUCAUCGGAAAAAAAAUGUAUGUUAGAUAAGUACUGAAUGAUGUGUCAGGAACCUCAAGACAUUUUUCUAUAUGCAAUUUAUCAUUGUUUCACAUUCUUACAGCUCAUUUCUUUGACCAGGUGGCUUAUGGCUUCAGAGAAGACUCAAAGUGGCUUGAACAAUGUGUCAACCAGGUGGGAAUGACAUGAUUUUCAAAUGCAGCAAAGAUUUACUGCCGUGAAUAAUGCAAAAUUAAUUAUACAAACAAGAUCUAUAGCUGUUCAAUGCAUAGUUUGGAAAAGUAAAAUCAUACCAACACCAACCUGAUAAACUCAUCUAUGAUGCAUGCAUGGUGAAAAAUUAUAACAUUUUCAUCUUUCCUACAGUAAUCAGCAUAGUCUAUCCUUUCAUGAAUCAAAAUUAAUACUUCAAGUCUAUGCACAUAAAAUCUUACUAAAAAUAAUGCAGUUUAGUGGUUUAUAUAAGUUUCUUUGCAAACAAAUCUGAACUCCAUCACUAUUCUUGAAACUACUGUGACCCAUCAACGUUAUUACCUCAGCUAUCAACCAUUCUCAUGUCAUAAAGAUUCAGAAUUUGCAAUAUUACUCCUAGAAGUUCUCUGUUCAUCUACAGAAAGGAGUCUCGUAGAAGCUACUGUUGUGAUAGAAGCUAGGAUAGCUAAUGCUGCAAAAUUGAUCUCCGAGAAGCUAUUGUUGUUAAAAUCCCAUCUCAUAAAAUUUUCUCCUGUUUCAAAAAUUAAAAAAUAUAAAAAAUUGUCUCCCUUUGAUUAAAGCACCCUGAACACCAGAAAUGGUGUCACUUAAAACCUCUCUCAAUCUCCAAGCUAACACUUUUGCGAUAAUUUCAUACAAGCUUGAUAAUCAAGCUGUGGACUUCUGUAGAUGAACAGAGAACUUCAAGGAGAACUACCACUUUUGGACUAAUUUUACAACCAAGACUUUACUUCUACUACUUUGUUAUAAAAGAUUGCAAGGCAUCAAUAGACGAUAUAUAGUUGAUAAGACUGGAUGCAAUCCACUCAAAUGCAUUUCAAAAAACUAUAUUCAAUGAGUAAUUUGAGUUGUUUUUUUCUUCCAACUCAAAAACUUGAACAAACCUCGAUUCUAAUACUCUAAACAAAGAAUUUAACCCGGAAUCGAAAGAUCAAUACUGAAAAACAUAAUCUGAUACAUAAACAUGUGUUAUCAUUUGUAAAACAUCAGAUACAACCUAUUUGCACAAAAUGGGUUACACAUCUCUAACAAAGGCUUAGACUUUAGAUAUCAAAAGAAUUCCAAUUUGUCCUCUUCUACACAAUUCUAACAAAUGCUCAAGUCCUUUAAGGCCUUGUAUUUAGAUGCUAAGAAGAGUAAAAAAUGGGCCUAUUGGCAGGAUUUAAAUUGAAAAUCUUGAUUUAAAAAUGGUUGAAUUCCAGAUCAGUCUACAGAGAAUCUAGUAAUUCUAUGCUUCAAAAACUCAUUUGCCCCUCUUUAAAUCCUCACAAUGUGGGGUUGAUUAGCUUCCUUUAACCAAGAGUAACAUGGUUCUAUGAAAAACAAGCAUUAAUGAAUCAAACAGAGAUCACAACACAAUAACAAAUAGAUCAAACUUUGAAAUCAACUAAUAUUAGACUCCCAAAUUCCAAGUUCAAGUAGGCUGUUGUUGAAUCACGCGUUACCUCGCGAAGCGAGUCUCGCUUCCCACGACGUUGCAUUUCUUGCUCGUCGGCGUAUGACGCCGGAGAAAACGAUUCGGCGACCACGUCUUCCAUUUUUCCCUUCAUUUUCUGAUCCUGGUUUGCUCUCUGGUUUUCUACCUAUUGUGUUGGGCUUUAUUACAUACUUUUGGGUCCUUUUUCCUUUUAUUUUUCUUUUUCUUUCAUUUUAAAAGUCGAAUAGUUUCCUAAUAUUUCGAAAAAUUAAAAGUCGAGUACCUCACAGUAUCUAGUUUUUAUUUGAUAAAUCAGUAUCUAGUUUUUUUUUUUUAAGAAAGAGCUUCUAGUUUUCAUAUUCAUUUGAUAAAUAAAAGUAAUUUUAACCUCUCGUGUGCAUUUAAGUUGUCUAUUAUGGUGAGAAAAGUUUCCUAAAAGAAAACUAUGGUGAGAAAAACAAGAGCAUUCGAAAUGAGAAGAACAUGAAGGUGGAUUUGAGAGGAGCCAAAACGCGAAUCAAAGGAAGAAGAAAGAGAUUUCAUUAGAAAAAAGUGUAACGCGAAUCAAAGGAAGAAGAAAGAGAUUUCAUUAGAAAAGAGUGUUUGAGACUACAAGUAGAGUAGCUAUUUAUUAACUUGUGGCAUUAGAUCUCUCUCCUAGUACCACGAGACCCAUAUAAAAGGCUACUUUUAUUGAUUAUCUACCUCUUAGCUUAGCAAGUACCACAUUAACACUACAUGCCGCUAAAUUUUUCAUUUGCUCCCAUCAGUAUCUCUAGAACUGUGAGGACCUUGAUGAGCUCAAAGCAAGAGUCUCCUGCCUGUUAUACUUGAGGUCCUUGCCUGCUCGCGGUCCAUCUGGUAGGCGUUGGCGAGGACCACGUCGGGGAGUGAUCGCAAGACGGAGGUCCUGCCAGCUAGAGUGUUGACCAUGGCAUUGUCAUUGGUCUUGAAGGCAAUGUACUCGUACCCGUUGCUCUGGGCUUUUUGCAACACGGCGUGGUUUUGCGGCACGAUGAAGAGUUGUCCCUGGCGGACCUGGUCGUCCAAGAUGGUCUCACCGUUGUCGUUCACCACCUGAACCCUGGCGCUACCUCUGAUGACAUAGAUGAUCUCAUGAGCAUUCAAGUUCCAGCGGGGGCUGUGGAUAGCAUUCUGCAUGUACCAUUACCAGAUAAAUUUCAGGAUUAAUUGAUCAAUAGGUAACUAAAUUUAAUUAUUAGAAACAUACAUGCUAGAAUACUCACGUUGUAGAAGAAACCUCUCUCAGCGCUGAGACGGAGGUGCCUGAGAAUAGGCAUGCUGAAGCUGUUGAGGGUGCUGAUGCGACCGGCUUGUGGGCUGAAGACGUCAGCCAUGGAAGGCUUGCCGAUGUUCUGCUUGAUCUGCAUGUGGCAGAAUAC
RNAcentral lists this long non-coding RNA (4691 nucleotides) under Fragaria vesca (wild strawberry). RNAcentral describes it as "long non-coding RNA (FVES_LNC000569)". The record is from RNAcentral. Lineage: Eukaryota; Viridiplantae; Streptophyta; Magnoliopsida; Rosales; Rosaceae.